AGCGAACGCUGGCGGCGUGCUUAACACAUGCAAGUCGAGCGGAAAGGCUCCUUCGGGGGUACUCGAGCGGCGAACGGGUGAGUAACACGUGAGUAAUCUGCCCUGGACUCUGGGAUAGCCACCGGAAACGGUGAUUAAUACCGGAUAUGACCACUUUAGGCAUCUGAGGUGGUGGAAAGUUUUUCGGUCCAGGAUGUGCUCGCGGCCUAUCAGCUUGUUGGUGAGGUAAUGGCUCACCAAGGCUUUGACGGGUAGCCGGCCUGAGAGGGUGACCGGUCACACUGGGACUGAGACACGGCCCAGACUCCUACGGGAGGCAGCAGUGGGGAAUAUUGGACAAUGGGCGGAAGCCUGAUCCAGCAACGCCGCGUGAGGGAUGACGGCCUUCGGGUUGUAAACCUCUUUCAGUACCGACGAAGCGAAAGUGACGGUAGGUACAGAAGAAGGACCGGCCAACUACGUGCCAGCCGCCGCGGUAA
Molecule: ribosomal RNA, 479 nt
Filed under: uncultured bacterium
Lineage: Bacteria
Description: partial 16S ribosomal RNA
Rfam family: Bacterial small subunit ribosomal RNA
Source: RNAcentral